GAUGAACGCUAGCGGGAGGCCUAACACAUGCAAGCCGAGCGGUAUUCGUUCUUCGGAACAGAGAGAGCGGCGCACGGGUGCGGAACACGUGUGCAACCUGCCUUUAUCUGGGGGAUAGCCUUUCGAAAGGAAGAUUAAUACCCCAUAAUAUAUUGAGUGGCAUCAUUUGAUAUUGAAAACUCCGGUGGAUAGAGAUGGGCACGCGCAAGAUUAGAUAGUUGGUGAGGUAACGGCUCACCAAGUCAAUGAUCUUUAGGGGGCCUGAGAGGGUGAUCCCCCACAGUGGUACUGGGCCCCGGACCAGACUCCUACGGCAGGCAGCAGUGAGGGAUACUGGACUGUGGGAUAGCGCCUGAUCCAGCCAUCCCGGGUGAAGGACGACGGCCCUAUGGGUUGUAAACUUCUUUUGGAUAAGGAUAAACGUACUCUCGUGAGAGUAGCUGAAGGUACUAUACGAAUAAGCACCGGCUAACUCCGUG
RNAcentral lists this ribosomal RNA (479 nucleotides) under uncultured bacterium. Its description in RNAcentral is "partial 16S ribosomal RNA". It matches the Rfam family "Bacterial small subunit ribosomal RNA", at positions 28 to 507 of the family's 1533-position model. The record is from RNAcentral.